AUUGAAACACCAAUUCCCAUAUGAUCAUCAAAGUUAAGCAAUGUUGAGCCUGGUUAGCACCUAGAUAGGUGACCACUGGGGAAUACCAGGUUCUGUAAG
Non-coding RNA from Acanthosepion pharaonis, 99 nucleotides. The record is from the annotation of a GenBank genome assembly. Lineage: Eukaryota; Metazoa; Mollusca; Cephalopoda; Sepiida; Sepiidae.